AGUAUGCGGGGACACCCAUGGCCAGUUCUAUGACCUCCUCAACAUAUUCGAGCUCAACGGUUUACCCUCGGAGACCAACCCCUAUAUAUUUAAUGGUGACUUUGUGGACCGAGGCUCCUUCUCUGUAGAAGUGAUCCUCACCCUUUUCGGCUUCAAGCUUCUGUACCCAGAUCACUUUCACCUACUUCGAGGCAACCACGAGACAGACAACAUGAACCAGAUCUACGGUUUCGAGGGUGAGGUGAAGGCCAAGUACACAGCCCAGAUGUACGAGCUCUUUAGCGAGGUGUUCGAGUGGCUCCCGUUGGCCCAGUGCAUCAACGGCAAAGUGCUGAUCAUGCACGGAGGCCUGUUCAGUGAAGACGGCGUCACCCUGGAUGACAUCCGGAAAAUUGAGCGGAAUCGACAACCCCCAGAUUCAGGUCCCAUGUGUGACCUGCUCUGGUCAGAUCCACAGCCGCAGAACGGGCGCUCGGUCAGCAAGCGGGGCGUGAGCUGUCAGUUUGGGCCUGACGUCACCAAGGCCUUCUUGGAAGAGAACAACCUGGACUAUAUCAUCCGCAGCCACGAGGUCAAGGCCGAGGGCUACGAGGUGGCUCACGGAGGCCGCUGUGUCACCGUCUUCUCUGCCCCCAACUACUGCGACCAGAUGGGGAACAAAGCCUCCUAUAUCCAUCUCCAGGGCUCUGACCUACGGCCUCAGUUCCACCAGUUCACAGCAGUGGUGAGUCACUCCUCAGGGCCCUCGCCCCUCCCAUCCUGGCCUGGGGACAAGGAGGCUGAGACCCUGGUAAGGGGCAGGGGUAGGUUCCACCAGUGGGUGCUCUGGGGCUGUGUUCUGACUUCUGUCCAUCCUACCUGCCCUGGUUCCACAGCCU
Molecule: small RNA, 878 nt
Filed under: Pongo abelii (Sumatran orangutan)
Lineage: Eukaryota; Metazoa; Chordata; Mammalia; Primates; Hominidae
Description: retained intron
Source: RNAcentral